This 331-nucleotide ribosomal RNA is filed under the name uncultured bacterium. Its description in RNAcentral is "bacterial SSU rRNA". It matches the Rfam family "Bacterial small subunit ribosomal RNA", at positions 29 to 389 of the family's 1533-position model. The record is from RNAcentral.
GCGAACGCUGGCGGCAGGCUUAACACAUGCAAGUCGAGCGGGCACUUCGGUGUCAGCGGCAGACGGGUGAGUAACACGUGGGAACGUGCCCUUCGGUUCGGAAUAACUCAGGGAAACUUGAGCUAAUACCGGAUACGCCCUUUUGGGGAAAGGUUUACUGCCGAAGGAUCGGCCCGCGUCUGAUUAGCUAGUUGGUGGGUAAUGGCCUACCAAGGCGACGAUCAGUAGCUGGUCUGAGAGGAUGAUCAGCCACACUGGGACUGAGACACGGCCCAGACUCCUACGGGAGGCAGCAGUGGGGAAUAUUGGACAAUGGGCGCAAGCCUGAUCC